GGUUCUUCAGCGUGCUGUCGAGCGGCUUAAUGAACAAACUAUUAUUACGCAGCAAGACAUCCCCUUUGGCGGUGACCAGCUCGCCAUCCAGCGGAAUAUCAAGAUGUAAGCGAGCAUUCACAUCGCCGUCAAUCUGGAGCUGCUCCAGCGUGGCACCGAGAGAAUCUUUCAGCGGCGUGUCGUCAAAAUACGGGCCGACCGCUUUACCCGGCCCAUUGAUAUCGGCAUCAAUCAGCAGCUUUUCUUUGGCAUAGUCCGGGAUGAUCGCGGUCAGAUUGCUGGCCUUAACACCGCCCAGAUUGACGCUAUCCGCCUUCAUCCACAGGCCAUCGUUCAGGAAGUCCAGCUCAAUGUUGAGGUCGGUCAGCGCGGGCCAGUCAGGCUGGAAAGCAAACUUCGCGUUACGCAGCGGCAC
Molecule: non-coding RNA, 415 nt
Filed under: Citrobacter koseri
Lineage: Bacteria; Pseudomonadati; Pseudomonadota; Gammaproteobacteria; Enterobacterales; Enterobacteriaceae
Source: RNAcentral